Molecule: ribosomal RNA, 268 nt
Filed under: uncultured bacterium
Lineage: Bacteria
Description: partial 16S ribosomal RNA
Rfam family: Bacterial small subunit ribosomal RNA
Source: RNAcentral
GUCCUAGCCCUAAACGAUGUUCACUAGGUGUGAGAGGUAUCGACCCCUUUCGCGCCGAAGCUAACGCAUUAAGUGAACCGCCUGGGGGAGUACGGCCGCAAGGUUGAAACUCAAAGGAAUUGACGGGGGCCCGCACAAGCGGUGGAGCAUGUGGUUUAAUUCGACGCAACGCGAAGAACCUUACCUGGGCUUGAACUACUCGUGGUAAGCUUUUGGAAACAGAAGCUGACCCGCAAGGGAGCGAGCAGAGGUGCUGCAUGGUUGUCGU